This 484-nucleotide ribosomal RNA is filed under the name uncultured bacterium. Its description in RNAcentral is "partial 16S ribosomal RNA". It matches the Rfam family "Bacterial small subunit ribosomal RNA", at positions 30 to 507 of the family's 1533-position model. The record is from RNAcentral.
AUUGAACGCUGGCGGCAGGCCUAACACAUGCAAGUCGAGCGGAUGAAGGGAGCUUGCUCCUGGAUUCAGCGGCGGGCGGGUGAGUAAUGCCUAGGAAUCUGCCUGGUAGUGGGGGAUAACGUCCGGAAACGGGCGCUAAUACCGCAUACGUCCUGAGGUAGAAAGUGGGUGAUCUUCGGACCUCACGCUAUCAGAUGAGCCUAGGUCGGAUUAGCUAGUUGGUGGGGUAAAGGCCUACCAAGGCGACGAUCCGUAACUGGUCUGAGAGGAUGAUCAGUCACACUGGAACUGAGACACGGUCCAGACUCCUACGGGAGGCAGCAGUGGGGAAUAUUGGACAAUGGGCGAAAGCCUGAUCCAGCCAUGCCGCGUGUGUGAAGAAGGUCUUCGGAUUGUAAAGCACUUUAAGUUGGGAGGAAGGGCAGUAAGUUAAUACCUUGCUGUUUUGACGUUACCAACAGAAUAAGCACCGGCUAACUUCGUG